GUGUGGAAGGUUCUUAUAACUGCGAAGAACCUUGCUUGAGUAACAAUUCUUUCAAAUCAAUCUGUUCCUUUUACACGCUGUUCCAACUUUAUUAUAGUAAUCUCUCACGAGCUCUGCAAAGAUACUCGCGUAAAAACGUAAAUACGUUCUAAAUCGAGCUCUAUAGGUAUACCAUCAACAUACAAGAAAAUAUGGAAAAUUAUCUAUGAGGCCAUAUGGUUAAGAGAAUGUACACGUUCGAUAUCUCUAUUCUAGAACACAAAUCUCCUUUCAUGAUAUACUCGUCGAUAGGCAUAACAGGACUUAUUGUACCCCGGGCACAUUGUAAAUAAGAAUGAAGCAGCCACGUUAGUUCAACGUUCGAUACACUGCGACGUGUACGAUGUCAACGCAUAGCGCAUGUAUAUUCUAGAAAUAUACAAGAAGAUGACACAUUUCACUGUUCGAAGCUAUCAUUUGAACCGGGUCUAGCCAAAAAUCAAACCUUCCGGAUCGUCGUAAAUUGUCCGAACAUUGAUACUUAAUUGCCCAACGCUAUCAGCAAGAUCGUGAAACGAAUGAAACGAGAACGCUGCGUGAAUACAAUUGCGCUUUAUCGUCAGAGAGGACAGCAACCGCAAAAUAAAAUAGUCCCGAUCGGCAAUUUCAUGGGAUUGAAAAUACAUUUGGAACACGAGAUAAUGUCUCGGGAAUGGUUACCGGACGUAAGACGAGAAACGCAUUCGAAUACUAGCACGCAGUUCGAGUGAAUUUGUUCGUCACCCGAAGGGUUGGGUGAACGAUCGCCGAUCAACGAUCAUCGUCAGGCAGACGGUGAAAACCAGGAGAAAAAACAAAGACGAAACACAACGAUUAUGCAUUUACACGUGGGCAGAAAGAAGCGUCAUGCGGUGCAGCCAAGCGUGCGUUGCUGUUUACCUGCGAACGGCACAUCCCCAAAGUAUUCCUCGACGUUGUCCGUCGACAUGCUCUUGUCCGACAGGGACACGCUCGACAACGAGCCGCUGGACGCGUCCAGGCUGCCGCCGGCCGGAAACUGCAGUAAAUCCUCGUCGGUUUCUGUUUCCAUGUCGCGGGACCUCCGUUUGUAUACCUGCCACACGUAAACGCAAGUCCAACAAUUUCUCUUCGAGACGAUUCUUUUUUAUCCCUAGAACGUGGUUACCUGAUUUACACACCACGACAAUACUUGUAUAGAAGACAUUAGGGAGGACACAUAUUGAAUAGAACAUUGCCAUUAUCUCAAAAAAUUUGUGAGUCUUUCUAUAAUGAAAUUAUACUUGUUUUGUAAUUACAUUAUGCACAUCCGAUUACACCUAUCUUGAAGCCGCUGCCAGUUGAUACGUAACUAUGUUAGAGAAUUAAUCUUUUUUUUAUAUUUGAAAGUAACAUCUUCCUGUGUUUCCCUCGUAACGUUAUGUGAACUACUGUUACUUUUCAUUGAGUUUUUGUUUAUCGCAUUCGAUCAGAUAUUUCUCCAAGAAUUUUGACACGUAGCAUUGGAUAGUCUUUUUAUGUCGUAAUAAUUAAAGAAGUUAGUAACUUUUCUAAUUUCAUAA
Molecule: long non-coding RNA, 1559 nt
Organism: Megalopta genalis
Lineage: Eukaryota; Metazoa; Arthropoda; Insecta; Hymenoptera; Halictidae
Source: RefSeq, a predicted model, not a curated record